UCAUCMWGCUGGCGGCAGACUGGAGCUUCUCCHUGACUGUUWGCGGCGGACGGGUGAGUAACACGUGGGUACCUGCCUGUAAGACUGGGAUAACUCCGGGAAACCGGGGCUAAUACCGGAUGGUUGUUUGAACCGCAUGGUUCAGACAUAARAGGUGGCUUCGGCUACCACUUACAGAUGGACCCGCGGCGCAUUAGCUAGUUGGUGAGGUAACGGCUCACCAAGGCAACGAUGCGUASCGACCUGAGAGGGUGAUCGGCCACACUGGGACUGAGACACGGCCCAGACUYCUACGGGAGGCAGCAGUAGGGAAUYUUCCGCAAUGGACGAAAGUCUKACGGAGCAACGCCGCGUGAGUYAUGAAGGUUUUCGGAUCGUAAAGCUCUKUUGUUAGGGAAGAACAAGUGCCGUUCAAAUAGGGCGGCACCU
RNAcentral lists this ribosomal RNA (429 nucleotides) under Bacillus sp. CA-09. Its description in RNAcentral is "partial 16S ribosomal RNA". It matches the Rfam family "Bacterial small subunit ribosomal RNA", at positions 69 to 480 of the family's 1533-position model. The record is from RNAcentral. Lineage: Bacteria; Bacillati; Bacillota; Bacilli; Caryophanales; Bacillaceae.